RNAcentral lists this ribosomal RNA (1372 nucleotides) under uncultured bacterium. RNAcentral describes it as "bacterial SSU rRNA". It matches the Rfam family "Bacterial small subunit ribosomal RNA", at positions 28 to 1381 of the family's 1533-position model. The record is from RNAcentral.
GAUGAACGCUGGCGGUGUGCCUAAUACAUGCAAGUCGAGCGAACGGACGAGAAGCUUGCUUCUCUGAUGUUAGCGGCGGACGGGUGAGUAACACGUGGAUAACCUACCUAUAAGACUGGGAUAACUUCGGGAAACCGGAGCUAAUACCGGAUAAUAUUUUGAACCGCAUGGUUCAAAAGUGAAAGACGGUCUUGCUGUCACUUAUAGAUGGAUCCGCGCUGCAUUAGCUAGUUGGUAAGGUAACGGCUUACCAAGGCAACGAUGCAUAGCCGACCUGAGAGGGUGAUCGGCCACACUGGUACUGAGACACGGUCCAGACUCCUACGGGAGGCAGCAGUAGGGAAUCUUCCGCAAUGGGCGAAAGCCUGACGGAGCAACGCCGCGUGAGUGAUGAAGGUCUUCGGAUCGUAAAACUCUGUUAUUAGGGAAGAACAUAUGUGUAAGUAACUGUGCACAUCUUGACGGUACCUAAUCAGAAAGCCACGGCUAACUACGUGCCAGCAGCCGCGGUAAUACGUAGGUGGCAAGCGUUAUCCGGAAUUAUUGGGCGUAAAGCGCGCGUAGGCGGUUUUUUAAGUCUGAUGUGAAAGCCCACGGCUCAACCGUGGAGGGUCAUUGGAAACUGGAAAACUUGAGUGCAGAAGAGGAAAGUGGAAUUCCGUGUGUAGCGGUGAAAUGCGCAGAGAUAUGGAGGAACACCAGUGGCGAAGGCGACUUUCUGGUCUGUAACUGACGCUGAUGUGCGAAAGCGUGGGGAUCAAACAGGAUUAGAUACCCUGGUAGUCCACGCCGUAAACGAUGAGUGCUAAGUGUUAGGGGGUUUCCGCCCCUUAGUGCUGCAGCUAACGCAUUAAGCACUCCGCCUGGGGAGUACGACCGCAAGGUUGAAACUCAAAGGAAUUGACGGGGACCCGCACAAGCGGUGGAGCAUGUGGUUUAAUUCGAAGCAACGCGAAGAACCUUACCAAAUCUUGACAUCCUUUGACAACUCUAGAGAUAGAGCUUUCCCCUUCGGGGGACAAAGUGACAGGUGGUGCAUGGUUGUCGUCAGCUCGUGUCGUGAGAUGUUGGGUUAAGUCCCGCAAUGAGCGCAACCCUUAAGCUUAGUUGCCAUCAUUAAGUUGGGCACUCUAAGUUGACUGCCGGUGACAAACCGGAGGAAGGUGGGGAUGACGUCAAAUCAUCAUGCCCCUUAUGAUUUGGGCUACACACGUGCUACAAUGGACAAUACAAAGGGCAGCGAAACCGCGAGGUCAAGCAAAUCCCAUAAAGUUGUUCUCAGUUCGGAUUGUAGUCUGCAACUCGACUACAUGAAGCUGGAAUCGCUAGUAAUCGUAGAUCAGCAUGCUACGGUGAAUACGUUCCCGGGUCU